UCUGCCUUGAAUAUUCAGGACUCUUCAUAUCAAGUUCUCAGAAUGAGGUGCUCUCUUCAGUUCCUGGGGUUGCUUGUGCUCUGGAUUCCUGGAGUCAAUGGGGAUAUUGUGAUGACCCAGGGUGCACUCCCCAAUCCUGUCCCUUCUGGAGAGUCAGCUUCCAUCACCUGCAGGUCUAGUAAGAGUCUGGUAUACAAAGACGGCAAGACAUACUUGAAUUGGUUUCUGCAGAGGCCAGGACAGUCUCCUCAGCUUCUGACCUAUUGGAUGUCUACCCGUGCAUCAGGAGUCUCAGACAGGUUCAGUGGCAGUGGGUCAGGAACAUAUUUCACACUGAAAAUCAGUAGAGUGAGGGCUGAGGAUGCGGGUGUGUAUUACUGUCAGCAAGUUCGAGAGUAUCCUCCACAGUGAUACAGCCCUGAACAAAAACCACCCAGAUGGAAAUGCCCAGCUGUCACAUGUAUUGCUUGUACUGAGAACAUCAGAUGAAAAUAUUACAUUUAGAUAGAAGGAGGAGGAAGUGGGAGUGAUUGAAGAUCAGGAGAAUGAGAGGGAGUAGAUGACCUGAAGAACUUAGAAUUAUUUAUAGCUGAGACCUUAGUGGAGUGUUAAUUCAGGUGGUGUUCUCCUU
Rattus norvegicus (Norway rat) is the source of this 631-nucleotide non-coding RNA. NCBI's taxonomy places the organism in Eukaryota, Metazoa, Chordata, Mammalia, Rodentia, Muridae. The record is from the annotation of a RefSeq genome assembly.